AUGCGUGAACAUGUUGAAAUUCUAUUUCCCGUCACUUCUCGUAUUCCUAAAGUACGUGACUGGAGUGUUGAUGGAAUCAUUGGCAAUGUAAAUUCAGUGCCCUCAUCAAAGAAAACUAUGCUUGCUAGUGCAAAAUCUAAAGCACAUGAGGCAUUCAAGAAUGGGAAUUAUCUUAUUGCAGCAAGAAUUUAUGGAGAGGCCAUGGAGCUCGACCCUUUUAAUGCGACCUUGCGCUCAAAUAGUAGCCUAUGCUGGAUUCGCUUCGGUAAUGGGACGCAGGCCCUGAAGGAUGCUCAAGCUUGCAGGAUGAUGCGACCUGGCUGGGCCAAGGGCUGCCACCGUGAAGGAACUGCUCUGAUGCUACUGAAGGACUAUGAAAAGGCAUGUGGUGCAUUUCUUGAUGGUCUUAAGUUGGAGCCUGGGAACGUCGAGAUGGAAGACGGGUUACGGUAUCCUCUUUGUUCCUGGAGGCCUUGGAGUCCAUGA
RNAcentral lists this ribosomal RNA (486 nucleotides) under Triticum aestivum (bread wheat). RNAcentral describes it as "partial small subunit ribosomal RNA". Lineage: Eukaryota; Viridiplantae; Streptophyta; Magnoliopsida; Poales; Poaceae. The record is from RNAcentral.